RNAcentral lists this unclassified non-coding RNA (3455 nucleotides) under Acanthaster planci (crown-of-thorns starfish). RNAcentral describes it as "diamine acetyltransferase 1-like, transcript variant X1". The record is from RNAcentral. Lineage: Eukaryota; Metazoa; Echinodermata; Asteroidea; Valvatida; Acanthasteridae.
UUAAGUCAUUGACAUGUUGUCAGCAGUCGCGUCAUAAUGGUGUAUAAGGCACUGUAUUCAUUUUCCCUUCCUGUUUGUACAGUAUCUGCCAUGAAUAACUUUAACAGAUGCACCAGUGUUUAUCAUGCUCUUGUGCAGAAUGGCAGAGAAAUAACUUUGGAGACGACCCUGUCAAUCACUUCUUCGUGGUGGAAGCCACUAGCGAUUGCCUGGGUGAUACAGCAGAGCCAGAGAUAGUGGGUUGCUCUACUAACUCCUUCACCCACUGCCCCAGGGACGGAUGAUUUUCUUGGGAGAGUUCUACAUUCGAACUGCCCACAGAGGGACAGGUCUUGGAAAGGCUCUGAUGGAGAAAGUUGCUGAGGCUGGGAUUAAGGACCGCUGCAAGGGCAUGAACUGGCUCCUGAGGGCUUCCAAUGACAGCACCUGGCAGUUCUACCGUCGCUUCAACGCAAUCGAUAUGACUACACAGCACGAGUGGAGAUUCAUGCGAGUAAAGGGGGACAGUGAUGCACACAGUUCCUGAAGCAGGGUCAAAUAUUCAUUUUCUUUAGGCCGGGUAAAUGUCACAUCUAAGUUACUUGGCUAUCGGCCGGAUUAGCUUGCACGCCAGCUGCUACCCAGCAGCCAUCAUACUUACAUGCAGGCAGGCAGCAACAGCCAAGCAGUCAAUAAGAGAUCUACACAUAGAAAGUUUCAGUAUGUGGUUUUAGUUUUAGCAUGAAUUUGGCGUCUUAUUCAAAAGUGUUGUUACUGUUUUUGUGGAUAAAUUUUCUAAGAAAGUGCCCAAUGAUAGUAGAUGAAAUACAAAACAAGGACCAAAUCACGCCUAUUGAUUUUUUGGACCCCACUGGUCAGAGGUCAGUGUCACUGUUGAAACAAAGAAAUGGUCUUUCCUGCCAUAGCUCAAGGACUGAACAUGUCAACUUCAAUUUGGUACAUGUUUUUAUUUAUUCUCAGUGACCUCUGAAAGCCUGCAGAUGAAGUCAGACUUAAGCACCUGACACUGGGUGACGUGUUUACGCAAAGUUUUCCUUAUUUGCUACACUGAGGACAUGUACACUCGUAUAUGUGUACACUUGACUUACACGUACUAAUGUGUCAUGCUUGGUUGGGUCAAAGUGCAGAAGAUGACCUUACACAGGGACGCUGCUACCACAAAAAAAAACCGAAAUGCGUUUCUUGAGUAAUUAUAAUUUGGGAGGGGCCUAGACCAUACACAAAAGAGCAUAGGGGAUUAUGACCUCCUUUGUCGGGGUAGGCUGAUCUGCUAGGGAGAAAAAAAACCAUGCUUGCAAAAGAGUUAAGGAUACAAAAAUCCCAACUACCAACUUUUUUAUAUCGAAAAAACUGGUACAAAAUACACAUGGUCAUUGAUGCUUCCAGUAUACCCUGUGGACCUUUUGUAUGUGGACCGGUUGAGGUGUGGACAUGCGCCACAGGUUUACCAGGACAGUUGAAAAAAGGGGAGAGGAAUGAAAAUACUGAUGCCUAAACUCAAGAGCUGUGGCUCCCAACAUAUUUUAUGGAUGUCAUAAAUAAAUAGCAAAAUUGAAGAAUUUGCAGAAAAAAGACCUCCUCCCUGGCAGCUUUUUCACGUAGGAAAAUCCAAGUCAAAUAUCAAGGUCAUCAAUCUUGGUGUUCUGGAGAAACAUUUUGUGAUCACAAAUUUAAGCCAUAGCUUGGUCUUGGCAGGGCAUUAGUGUUUAUAAUGUACCGGUGUUAAUGAUUAAGGUCAUACAUAUACAUUCAAGAGGAAUUGAAUGUUGCAGAAACUGAAAUAUGUAUCUCAGAAAUGCCCGUCAUAAGGACCAACAGUCUUUGAAUUGCUUUGUAAAUAAAACUUUGCAGGGGUGAGAUUGGAAGAAAAUUAAAAACCCAUGAAGUAGUCACAGGAAGUGUUGAGGGCCCCACAGCAGUGCAGGGUCCCGUAUACAUUUGUGUUUGCCUAAAGGCAACCCUCUACAUACUUUUGUUUUAUAUGAACCUUUAUAUUUGAAAAGACCAAGAUGGUAAAAUUGAGAUAUUUCAGGUUUUAAAAACAGAUAGUUUCAAAAUCCUGAAGUCAGGAAAAUCCUGAUGAAAAAAUCCUGAAAUCAAGAAAAACUCAGACAAAUCUGAUCCCUGACCUUGAAAGGAAAGGGCCACAUUUUUUACUUUGAUGACAGGGUGAUACAUGAAGUUGUCCACAGUUUUUCACACAUUCUCAGAGAUUAGUGAUAAUGUAUUAACAUUCCGGUCAUGAUGCAUGAGUGAGCGGCUGACAUGCCCCUGAUGGGCUCCUGUGUUUGAUGGGGUUUUCUACAUUUCUUGGGUCUUAUUUAGCAAUAAUUGUACCACAGUUAAGUCUGUUUGUUAAACACAUAUUCUAGGCGUCUUCCAGACAGUUAGUUCUGCUUUUUAUCAAGAUGUUGCCAGUUUCUGGGCAUACUUCCUGACGAUGAGACAGUGGCCAUUAUAUGGUUUGUUCAUCAACAAUAUGCCUUUCAGUAUGACAGAGUAUUCAGCUAUUCGAUCGAACUGAAGGUCAAAUCUUCUAAUAGUGAUUUAUUUGAAUUGACUCAGCCGUACAUUAUUGUGGAUCACAAAUUGAUAUGUUAGACAAAUUUUAGACAGUUUCCAUCAUAUAAAAUACAUACAAACUGAUCUUACGUGCAGUCUGUUUGUUUUCUUUCUUGCCUUUAUUGCAAUCUCCACUCUAGUCACACAAAAAAAUGGAUUUUGGCCAAUUUUGCAUGAGCUGCAUUUUUAAUCAACAGAACAGCAACACCAAUUUUUCCCCCACCAUCACUGCAUGGUACUUGUAUGGUUAGGAAAUAAACAUAGAUUUUACUUCUUUGUUUUCAAAAUUUGAUUUAAAGUUGUUGACCACCAACCAUGCAAAGGACACAACCAAACUAUGGAAAAAUUCUUUUCUUUUGGAAUGUCUUAUUAGGCCUUGCAAGCAGUUCAGUGUACAUAUCUAGGUGCUUGCUGGCUAUGUCAUACAAAUUUUCACGCUUAAAAAAGUCCAAUGGAAUGUUUAUCAAAUAUCACAGAAGUUUCUGUCAAGUUGAUUACAAAUCUUUCAAAGUACUGCCCUGACGUUUCAAAAAUAUGCACUACAUUUACACAGGAACCACGCAUGCUCCAUUGCCUUUUAACAAAUUGUGCAGCAGGACAGUUUGUCACGGAAAACUGCCAUAACAAAAGCCACUUUACUUCUUGUGGAAUCCGAGAUUUUUCUGUACAAUUUUGUACACACUGAAUUGAUUUUCAGUAAACAGAAAUUUCAGGAAGUUCAAAACUACUCUGUACUUGACCAUGCACUCAUUAUUGGUAAUUCAUCAGAAAAGUUAAACAGCGUAUUGUAAAUAACAGAAAAUGGAGUUAAAAUUUAAAAAAAGAUUUACUCAGAACUUCAUUUGUUCUUGCCAGUUCCUUUGCAGUGUGUUCUUGAAAGCCUUAAAAGAAAA